Long non-coding RNA from Dermacentor albipictus, 432 nucleotides. RefSeq lists it as uncharacterized. The record is from RefSeq and is a predicted model, not a curated record. Lineage: Eukaryota; Metazoa; Arthropoda; Arachnida; Ixodida; Ixodidae.
GUUUUGCUCGCAAUAAACUCUUCCAAUUUGGUGCAGCGAGUGUUCCCGCCUGAAAGCCGAGUUUGGUCUCAAGCCACCCUGGACAAUUGCUGUAUGAGGCGCCGUUUCUCGGGAGGACCAGUGGGAAGGCGUCAGGUCAUGCAGAUGAUAGCAGCAGUUUCACAAUGCCCAGCCUUGGUGCCCUCCAUCAAGAGCAAGCCACUUGCAUUCGCCUUCAGACAGAUUGUUGAUGUCUUCUUGGAAACAGUUUGGAAGACAGCAUUGAUGCAAGAUUCCAACGAUGCCAUGCGCUGCACUUAUUGGUCAAGAUGCUCAGAGAAUGGAGUUCCUGCAUCUCAUGGUUAACCGUGAACAGUAUUCUUUUUUGCUUUUUGAGUGCUAAAUGCCAUUUGCUGCAUCAAUUGCAUUUUUGCAGCUCAAAUGUGUACCAUA